AACUAUCCCACAGAAUUGUUUGUAUUAAAAACAGGGCAAGAGUUGUAGGAAUUAUGAUCACCAAAAAAAUUGGAGGAUAAACAUUCUUCUUGUCAAGACACUUCUUUGGGAAACCCCGU
This is a non-coding RNA of Rhinolophus ferrumequinum (greater horseshoe bat), 119 nucleotides long. NCBI's taxonomy places the organism in Eukaryota, Metazoa, Chordata, Mammalia, Chiroptera, Rhinolophidae. The record is from Rfam.